AACACUGUUAACCUGCGGUACCUGCGGAAGGAUCAUUACCGAGUUUACAACUCCCAAACCCAUGUGAACAUACCUAUCGUUGCUUCGGUGGAUCGCCCCGGGCGCCUUGCGUGCCCCGGAUCCAGGCGGCCGCCGGGGGACCUUAACUCUUGUUUUUACUGAGAAUCUUCUGAGUCGUUUUUACAAAUAAAUAAAAACUUUCAACAACGGAUCU
RNAcentral lists this unclassified non-coding RNA (214 nucleotides) under soil metagenome. RNAcentral's name for it is "partial contains 5.8S ribosomal RNA, internal transcribed spacer 2, and large subunit ribosomal RNA". The record is from RNAcentral.